Non-coding RNA from Microcebus murinus (gray mouse lemur), 460 nucleotides. The record is from RefSeq and is a predicted model, not a curated record. NCBI's taxonomy places the organism in Eukaryota, Metazoa, Chordata, Mammalia, Primates, Cheirogaleidae.
GCGGAGGCGUGCCCGGCCGGCGUGGGGAGUCCAGACGCGGCUCCCUGGGGGAUGCGAACUGGAAGCAGAAAUUGGGAAUGUUGGUCUGGAAGACAUUCCAGGCCGAGGCCCAGCGCGUGUCAAGGCCAGAAGACGACGGUUCCCGCAACAUGCGUUUGGGGGACGGGAGGAAAGCGGAACGUGACCGAAGGACAUCUGCAGGACGGACAGAACACUGCCUUACGGGAAAUCAGAGACUGCUCACGCACUGAACGUUUGCCCGUACUCAAAUACAUUAUUUUCUCUGCUUGGGGCACAGCCAAUGUUUAAGGAAAGCAUCUGCAACUUUUGCUUGCCAGUUUUAGAUAGAAAAAGCACAGGUUAAAGUCUGGGCAGCGGAUGCAUUAGGAGAUGGUGAUUUAAAAAAAAAAAUGAAGGAGGACACACUGAUUUAGGAAAUGAAAGACAAAGCAAGAUGGUG